Molecule: unclassified non-coding RNA, 278 nt
Filed under: Hyphodontia sp.
Lineage: Eukaryota; Fungi; Basidiomycota; Agaricomycetes; Hymenochaetales; Schizoporaceae
Description: partial contains 5.8S ribosomal RNA, internal transcribed spacer 2, and large subunit ribosomal RNA
Source: RNAcentral
CGCACCUUGCGCUCCUUGGUAUUCCGAGGAGCAUGCCUGUUUGAGUGUCGUGAAAUUAUCAACUCCCUUUCUUUAUUGAAAGGUGAGCUUGGACUUGGGGAUUGCUGACGCAAGUUGGCUUCCCUUGAAUGUAUUAGCUAGAACAUGGUUCAUAGCAUAUAUGCGGUGUGAUAAUGUCGUCACUGUGUAGCUUUAAAUCAUCUGGCUUCAAACUGUCUCUCGGGACAACUUUUGAUCAUUUUGACCUCAAAUCAGGUAGGACUACCCGCUGAACUUAA